Molecule: ribosomal RNA, 442 nt
Filed under: uncultured bacterium
Lineage: Bacteria
Description: partial 16S ribosomal RNA
Rfam family: Bacterial small subunit ribosomal RNA
Source: RNAcentral
CCUACGGGAGGCAGCAGUGGGGAAUAUUGCACAAUGGGCGAAAGCCUGAUGCAGCAACGCCGCGUGAAGGAAGAAGGGUUUCGGCUCGUAAACUUCUAUCAACAGGGACGAAAGAAAUGACGGUACCUGAAUAAGAAGCCCCGGCUAACUACGUGCCAGCAGCCGCGGUAAUACGUAGGGGGCAAGCGUUAUCCGGAAUUAUUGGGUUUAAAGGGUGCGCAGGCGGAGGCACAAGUCAGCGGUAAAAUCGCGGGGCUCAACCCCGCUCCGCCGUUGAAACUGUGUCCCUUGAGUGCGCGAAGGGUAGGCGGAAUGCGUGGUGUAGCGGUGAAAUGCAUAGAUAUCACGCAGAACUCCGAUCGCGAAGGCAGCCUACCGGCGCGCAACUGACGCUCAUGCACGAAAGCGUGGGUAUCGAACAGGAUUAGAUACCCGAGUAGUC